UCUUGGGGUCCUGGUCUCUAGGCUCAGGAUGGGUGGGUCUUCUGAGCUGGCUCGUCUCGUCGCAGGUGACUACUGGAGCUGACACCCAGCACCGCGGUGGAUCUGCGCGCCCCCUUGCUGCAGCAUCGCCUGGCCGAGCUGCGGAACUGCACUCGCUAUCCCUGGCGCGCUGUGGCCUCACCUAGCUCUGCGCUUUUGCUCUCAGAGGUACUGGAGGUCAGAGUCUGCAGGAUCCUGGAGAGUUGGUGCGAGCUACGCGCAUGACAGCUUGAACUUUCUUGGGGGAUUCCUCUACCAGCCCUUUAGAUCGUGUCGUGCAUGUCACCAGAUAACAAAAUUAAAUAUUCUCUCCAGUGCCCUUUUGGAAUAUUUUGACUUCUCUCCUUAAAAACUGACGAAAAGACCAACUCCUCCCACUGUCAGGAACUAUCUUGUCUUCAGAGUCUGGGAUAAGGGCUUGCAAAUGAGAAAGCUAUCUAUGUCUCUGCGGUCCUUCCACCCUAACGCUCCCAGAGGAGCUUCGUUCCUACCGUUUUUCUAGCCGUCAAAGAGAUUUCUUCAGAGCAAUGACCCAGAAGACUUGAUUAGUGACGUUGUUUCCUGGGCCCCCAAAAUGGCAGCUAAAAUGGAGAUAACUUUGAGUACCUACCCUGAGGAUUCUGACAAGCAAGAGAAACACAUCAUAAUGAAGCUGGAGGAGAAACGUGGGCCCCCCCAGCAAAAAGCCAGCCCCGAUCCUGAGCUUUCCCGCCAGAGCUUCAGACACUUUUGUUAUCAGGAGGUGUCUGGACCCCAGGAAGCGCUCUCUCGCCUUCGACAGCUCUGCAGACAGUGGCUGCAGCCUGACCUGCACACUAAGGAGCAGAUUUUGGAGCUCCUAGUGAUGGAGCAGUUUCUGGUCAUCCUUCCUCCAGAGAUCCAGGCGCAGGUCAGGCAUCGAUAUCCAAUGAGCGGCAAGGAGAUUGUGACUCUGGUAGAAGAUUUGCACAGAGCAUCCAAAAAACCAAAGCAGUGGGUGGCUGUUUGUCUGCAAGGGCAGAAGGUGCUCCUGGAGAGAACAGCAGCUCAGCCUGUAGAACAAGAACUUCCAGACUUUCAGCCCCAAACUCAUAGCAGAGAUAUUCAAGAGCACUCCCUGGAAGAGCCUUCCUGGGAAGGGUCUCAUGCCCAGCUGAGUCCCCAUCAUUGGGAGAAAUAUCCCUUCUACCAGGAACCAGUUCUCAAACUGACUGAGACAGAGGCUUCCAAGACGAGAAGAGACAAGGAAAACCCACAACAGGAAGGGGCAAAAGGAGCAGAGACACAUGCGGUGUCACCCGCAAGAUCCAAAGUGGGUAGUCUGCACGGCCCUGAGCCAAGACGGGUGAGCACAAGUGAACCCCGACUGUCACAAAGGCAGGCCAGACCCCCAAAUGCUCAGAAGGCAUUUGCUCACUACCAGAGGCAUUGCAGAGAACUGGACUAUAUCAGCAACCCCCUCAGAGGCUACCCACUGAGAGAGUUAAAGAAAAGCAAAAGAGGCAGAAGAAGCCUGAGCAGCCUUCUGCAGUGUCUUAGCCACCAGGCAGCCCACGCGGCAAAGAAACCUUACAAAUGCGAAGACUGUGGGAAGAGCUUCACGUGGAACUCAGAGCUGAAGCGACACAAGAGAGUACACACAGGAGAGAGACCCUACGUCUGUGGGGAGUGCGGAAACCGCUUUGGGAGGCAGUCAACUCUGAAACUGCACCAGAGAAUCCACACUGGGGAGAAACCAUACCACUGCAGUCAGUGUGGGAAAAGCUUUCGCCAAAGCUCAAAUCUCCACCAGCACCACAGGCUCCACCAUGGGGACUAGACAGGUGCUCGGUGCUUUAGAGGCCCAGGGAAGGGCGACCUGUCUCUCCUUUCCCUUACUUGCAGGAGCCUUGCAUUACAUGAAGGGGCAUUCAGCUCAGCCCCUGACUGAUGGACAUUAUGGAACUGCACUCUGGCUGAUGUGAGCAGAAUAAUGCUGCUAUGAACAUCGAUAUUUAAGUUUUUAUGUUUCAUUCCUCUAGGGUACAUGCCUAAAGGUUGAUUUGCUAGGUCAUGUGAUAAUUGUUUAACUUUUCUAGGAAACAGUCAAAUGGUUUCCAAAGUGGAUGCACAUUUUACAUUUCAACCAGCAGUGUAUAAGGGUUCCAGUUUCUCCACUCCUUCAACAUAAUUUAUUACUGCCUUUUGUUCGUUUUGAGACAGGGUCUCAUGGCUGGCAUACAACUCACAGGAUUACAGGUGUGAGCCACCAUAACUGUCUCUGUGGCAAGUUAAAAUGGACUGUCAUUUUUGUUGCUGAGUUGUAAGAAUUCUUUAAAUAUUCCGGAAUGAUGUCCUUAUGUAUGACUUGCCAACAGCUUCUCCCAUUCUUUUGUAAUACAGUCUGUUUAUUUGUUUUGGUUGAGACAGGGUUUCUCUGUAGCCCUGACUGUUCUGGAACUCACUCCAUAGACCAGGCUGGCCUUGAACUCAAUAAUCCACCAGCCUCAGCCUCCCUAGUACUGGGAUCAGAGGCCUGCCCUCCCACUGCCCAGCCUGUAAUACAUUCUUGUACAAUAGUUGUUUUGCAGUGGGGGUUUAUACAAACUCCUGUGUAACCCAGGAUAGCCUCAAACUUGUAAUCCUCCUGUCUUAACCAGUGGGAUGAAGGGAUUAUUGGUGUACACUCAUGCCCAGCAGUACACAUCUGUAAUAAAAACAGCUGUCACUUGCCAAAAUCCAAAGGACCAAAUUUUCAGUUUCCUAAUUUCCAGUACAACAGCCUGACAUUCCUAUGAAUUAAGAAGUUUAGGAUCAGCUGGGCAGUGGUGGCACACUUGUUUAAUCCCAGCACUCAGGAGGCAGAGACAGGCAGAUCUCUAUGAGUUCAAGGUCAGCCUGGUCUACAGAGCGAGUUCCAGGACAGGCUCCAAAACUACAGAAAAAUCCUGUCUCGAAAAACCAAAAAGUUGUUUAAGAUCCUUGGAACACAGUUUAUACCAGUUCCUCUCAGUUCUCUGCGCCAACCAUGCAUGGCUUGCAGUCCCUACGAGAAAUUUAAAUAUCUAUUGAGAUCGUUCUGCUGUUUAGGCUUUGGAAUAAAUACGUUCCCACUGAAAUAAAAAUGGUAUUAGUUACUUCAUAAGCAACAGAUGUUGAUAAGUACCUGGAAUACAUUUUUUUUUCCGGUCAUUGGGACUGAACUCAUUUAAUCCAGUGAACUCAGAGAUUAUUUUUCUAUUGUUGGUGGAAUUUUAGGGAGAAGAAAACUACAAUGUUCACAAUUCAGAUACUCUAGACCACAUCUCAUAGCCAGCCAGACAAUUAGGAGUAGGUCUGAUUACCGUUCAUAGUUUAGUUAGUUUAUUAGGUCUUUCAUUAGUAUAGUUUGAUGUUUUGAGAUGAGGUCUCUGUGUUGCCUAGGCUGGCUGCAAACUCUUAGGCUCAAGCAAUCCUCCUGCCUCAGCCUCUUGAGUAUCUAGAGAAAAAAGCACUUGUUAUUUUAUUUUUUUCUUGGGUUUCUGUCUUAGUCACUGUCACUUAGUUGCUGUGACGAGAUGUCGUGACCAUGGUAACUUAGAAAGGAGAUCAUUUACCUGGGCACGCCUUUAAUCCUAGCACUCAGAAGGAAGGCAGAGGCAAAUGGAUCUCUGUGAGUUUGAGGCCAGUGUGGUCUACAGAGUGGAUUCUAGGACAGGGUCCAAAGCUACAGAGAAACCCUGUCUCGACAGACAAUGCCUCACCAAAUUCACCGCUAGACAGCCAGCCCCAACAGUCAGAGCAGUGCGCAAGCACUGAUGGAAGCAGACACCAGAAGUGGCCUCAGGUGCCAGCUUCCUGUCCGCUGGCAAGGCAAAUGGCACCUGGUAGACAUGAGCUCCAACCUGUACCACUGGUAGCUGCUUGGCCAGCCUACGAUCACUCCAAGGCCUGGGAAACCAAAAGAGCGAAAUUACCAUAUUCCUUCCCAGCUGGUCUGGUCUGUCAGAGAACCACAGCCUGGUGGAGCCAGAGGUGCUUGCUUGGCCUGUACUGCUACCUUGCAGCUAAGACUGGAGUGCCAUCUUGGAAUAAUGCUAGAACUUGACACUGAAUUCCAGGGAAUGAGACAUUAUUUCCUUUAUCAAAUGGGGUAAAGUAAUUCAUUCACAUUUUCUAAACUAUUAUCCAAUUAGCUUUUUUGAACUUACCUUUACUACAACCUAAAGUCAUUGACAUAUACAUUUUAAGUUUACAACCUUGCCAUCAUCACAAGAUAACAUUUAUUGGAUGAUAAAUUGCACAUCAAAUGCACACAGUCACAGUUGAGAGACUCCAAUCUAGAGCUAAGACCAAUGGGAAUGUGUCAGAAACAGUAAAGCUGAAAGAAACACACAAAGUGCAUACGGAAAGCAUUAACUAGGUAUCAAAAUAAAUAGACAUGGUAAAGUACUUUUAGGUUUCUAUAAAUGAAUUAGGUUGUAUCCCCGUUCUCCCUACACCGUUCUUACAGACAAGAAUCUCAAUUCAAAGAGACAAACACCUGUAGUUAGCCUUAAAGAGAUAGAUAAUAGUCAUUUUAUAUCACAUAAAUAGUUCUAAUAUACAAGACUAAAACAGUUAAAUAUACACUUAAUAAACAAUUUCCCAUUUUAACAAAUAGUCAAAGCAAAAGCAGUUUCCUAAUGAAAUCUCUGCAACAUUCAAAAUAGAUUUUUUUUCAUAAAAGCUAUAUCCUACAUCUCCCUUUGAAUACAUAUACAGUAAAUCAGAUUAUUUAAAGCAAAGUCUAUCUUUUCAGAUUGUUUGGCAUCUUACAUUACAGUCACCAGACACUACUAAAUUUUUUUAAAUAAUUUUUUAUGAUUACUUUAUGUGCAAUGGAGUGAAAGUGUCAGAUCACCCAAGAACUGGAUUUACAAUCACUUAUGAGCUGCCAUGUGGGUGUUGGGCAUUGAACCUGGGUCCUCUGGAAGAGCAGUUGGUGCUCUUAACCUCCCAGCCAUCUCUCCAGCUACUACUACUUAAUUUUCUGGAACUUGAGGAGUCAAAGACAAAAAUGCCAUUUGUUUUAACUGCCUGAGUUACUGAGCUGGCUGUCUUCAGGGUCGCAGGGCAUGUGAACAGAUUGUUAUUUGUAGCAGCACAGUUCUCGACAAAAUGAUUCAACAACACAAUCUGUACAAACACUGGCAUCUAACUUCCACUGGGAAAUGCUGUUGUCAUCAAUGAUGACAGUUUAACACAACUUGGUAUGCACAGAAUCAUAUUAAAGAACUGUUUUGAUCACAUUUCUAUCAUGGCAUUAGCAAAACCCACGAAGUCUGAGUUCAUUUUUUCAGUACAAGUUGCCACACUUCAUGGUGUCAACACCCCCUCCUACAACAUGUAGUUAGCCGACUGUUCAGAGGGUCAACACCCCUCCUACAACAUGUAGUUAGCCGACUGUUCAGAGGGUCAACACCCCUCCUACAACAUGUAGUUAGCCAACUG
Molecule: RNA transcript, 5469 nt
Organism: Arvicola amphibius (Eurasian water vole)
Lineage: Eukaryota; Metazoa; Chordata; Mammalia; Rodentia; Cricetidae
Gene: Znf174
Gene name: zinc finger protein 174
Exons: 4
Source: RefSeq, a predicted model, not a curated record